CGGGACACGUGGUAUCCUGUCUGAAUAUGGGGGGACCAUCCUCCAAGGCUAAAUACUCCUGACUGACCGAUAGUGAACCAGUACCGUGAGGGAAAGGCGAAAAGAACCCCGGCGAGGGGAGUGAAAAAGAACCUGAAACCGUGUACGUACAAGCAGUGGGAGCACGCUUAGGCGUGUGACUGCGUACCUUUUGUAUAAUGGGUCAGCGACUUAUAUUCUGUAGCAAGGUUAACCGAAUAGGGGAGCCGAAGGGAAACCGAGUCUUAACUGGGCGUUAAGUUGCAGGGUAUAGACCCGAAACCCGGUGAUCUAGCCAUGGGCAGGUUGAAGGUUGGGUAACACUAACUGGAGGACCGAACCGACUAAUGUUGAAAAAUUAGCGGAUGACUUGUGGCUGGGGGUGAA
Molecule: ribosomal RNA, 405 nt
Filed under: Escherichia coli
Lineage: Bacteria; Pseudomonadati; Pseudomonadota; Gammaproteobacteria; Enterobacterales; Enterobacteriaceae
Description: partial 23S ribosomal RNA
Rfam family: Bacterial large subunit ribosomal RNA
Source: RNAcentral